Long non-coding RNA from Lonchura striata (white-rumped munia), 420 nucleotides. The record is from Ensembl. Lineage: Eukaryota; Metazoa; Chordata; Aves; Passeriformes; Estrildidae.
CGGCCGCGGCCCUGACUGACUGGGGGAGGCGUCCAACCCGCGGUGCGUGUGGGCGGCGGGCGGUGUGGGCGCGGCGUGUGCGGCAGGCUGGGCUGCACCGCAGCGCAUACACUACAAUGGCUGCUGGAAAGACGGGAAAGCAAACAAUUUCCAGGCCCGCCGCGUCCAGCCCGAAAUAUGGGGAAAAAAUUACAGAAAAAUCGGAGAACACUGUAAAGGGUGGAAACGGGGCGCAGAGGGGAUGCUGAGGCUCCCGCGACCAGUAAAAAUGGGAAGUACUGGAUUCUGGUUUCCUCCAAGAAGAGUCAGCGGAACUGGUUAAGACCAAAAUCUGAGGACUUUAGUGGGCAAACAUCAGGUGUGCAUUGAACAGAGGUUGCUUUAAUCCUCUUUAAAUAUAUGCUUCUUUAAAAAUAGUAU